ACAGUAUGGGAGUGAGAAUGUUGGCAUGAGUAGCGAGAUGUGGGUGAGAAUCCCACAGGCCGUAAACCCAAGGUUUCCAGGGGAAGGUUCGUCCGCCCUGGGUUAGUCGGGACCUAAGCUGAGGCCGCAAGGCGUAGGUGAUGGACAACAGGUUGAUAUUCCUGUACUACCGAUAACCGUUUGAGAGAAGGGAUGACACAGUAGGAUAAGCUAAGCACACUGUUGGUUAUGUGUGCCCAAGCAUUGAGGCAGUCAA
Molecule: ribosomal RNA, 256 nt
Filed under: Clostridioides difficile
Lineage: Bacteria; Bacillati; Bacillota; Clostridia; Peptostreptococcales; Peptostreptococcaceae
Description: partial 23S ribosomal RNA
Rfam family: Bacterial large subunit ribosomal RNA
Source: RNAcentral